GAAUUAACAAAUAAUUUAUUUAAAUUAAUAUUUUUGUAAUAUGUAAAUUAUUUAUUUAAUAUAUUUGUUAAAUUAUUUACAGUAACUGUAAGAACAUAAAUGAAAGAUGACUUAUAACCUAACUAUAAAUCAAAUAAAAUUGAAUAUAGAAUGUGUAGCAUAAGAUUAUUAAUUCUAGCUUUCCAUAAAUCAUUCCUAACCACGGGCAUUAUGAUAUGAAUGCGAUGAUACAUGCUUCAUAUUUUCUUUUUCCUUUUUUUACAUGAGAUGAUUUAAUCAAAAAACAAGAUUAUUUUUUGGAUAAAACAACAAGUUAAAUUGGAUUGAAAAGAGACCAUGAAAUUCGAUUAUUCCAUUUUAAUUUAUUUAUCUUUAUAAGUUAAACCAGCUUAUAUGUCUAAAUAAAUUUAACUCAAACAUAUUAUUAGAUACAUACAAUUAUAUUUCAUAAUUCUAAAUUUUGACUCAAUGAUUAUUGUUUAUUUAUCUUUAAAAGUGUUAAGAUCUAAUUGGUUUCACGUAAAUUCAAUCGAUAAAAAUAUUAAAUUAUUAAUUUUAAUAAAUAAAUUUUAUUUUUUAAUAAUUUUAAAUAUAAAAAAUUUUACUGAUUUUUUUCUUUAAUCGUCCCAACAUAUCAAAAUAGUAUGUGUUUCAUUUUAUUUUGUUUAACUUUCAAUUACAUGCAAAACUUAUAUCCUAAAAUAAUAGGCUCUUACAUGAUUAAUUAAACAUAUAAUUUCUUGAUGUUGUAUUUUUAUAUUAUGAGAUAUUGUUUGCUCAUCCUAGUCGCAUUUGCUACGUAAAAAUAGAUGGAAAGAAGCUAGAAACAAUUGCAAAGGCAAAUGCAGUACGAGCAAUAUGAAACAAAAGUGGCAACACAAAACAUUCCCCUGCAAACUCAGCAGCAAUAUCUUGAUGAGAAAGAAGCAUUUUAGUUGCUUCUCUCUCAAUAUUUGAUGUUACAUUUUCAAAUUUCAUGUUGAACACAUGAUAUAUAUAGUAGUAGAUUAUCUCAAUUAGGAUGUAUAUAAACAGUAAACAAAAACGUUUGUCUUAUUUUAAAAAAAAAAAAGGGCGUUUGAGAGUAACAUGUGAGAAAGUAAAAUUUAUUUAAUAAAUAUUUAUUAUGUACAAUGAUUCACAAUUAUAUAUCUCAUAUCCAUUAUAUAUUAUAAUUUAAAUUGAGAUUUAAAGUAUUUAUAUCAUAUUUAAUUUAUAAAAUAUUUUUUAUAAGAUAAAAUCUGAGACACAAUGAAUUAAAAUUUUUACAAGU
RNAcentral lists this long non-coding RNA (1273 nucleotides) under Durio zibethinus. RNAcentral's name for it is "long non-coding RNA (DZIB_LNC000699)". Lineage: Eukaryota; Viridiplantae; Streptophyta; Magnoliopsida; Malvales; Malvaceae. The record is from RNAcentral.